UACGUAGGGUGCGAGCGUUAAUCGGAAUUACUGGGCGUAAAGCGUGCGCAGGCGGUUUGCCAAGUCAGGUGUGAAAUCCCCGGGCUUAACCUGGGAAUUGCGCUUGAAACUAGCGGGCUUGAGUGUGGUAGAGGGGGGUGGAAUUCCACGUGUAGCAGUGAAAUGCGUAGAGAUGUGGAGGAACACCGAUGGCGAAGGCAGGUCUCUGGGCUGAAACUGACGCUCAUGCACGAAAGCGUGGGGAGCAAACAGG
RNAcentral lists this ribosomal RNA (253 nucleotides) under uncultured bacterium. Its description in RNAcentral is "partial 16S ribosomal RNA". It matches the Rfam family "Bacterial small subunit ribosomal RNA", at positions 524 to 776 of the family's 1533-position model. The record is from RNAcentral.